This 253-nucleotide ribosomal RNA is filed under the name uncultured bacterium. RNAcentral's name for it is "partial 16S ribosomal RNA". It matches the Rfam family "Bacterial small subunit ribosomal RNA", at positions 524 to 776 of the family's 1533-position model. The record is from RNAcentral.
GACGUAGGGCGCAAGCGUUGUCCGGAUUUAUUGGGCGUAAAGAGCUCGUAGGCGGCUUGUUGCGUCGUCCGUGAAAUCCCAUGGCUCAACUGUGGGCUUGCGGUCGAUACGGGCAGGCUGGAGUUCGGUAGGGGAGACUGGAAUUCCUGGUGUAGCGGUGAAAUGCGCAGAUAUCAGGAGGAACACCGGUGGCGAAGGCGGGUCUCUGGGCCGAUACUGACGCUGAGGAGCGAAAGCGUGGGGAGCGAACAGG